RNAcentral lists this ribosomal RNA (450 nucleotides) under uncultured bacterium. RNAcentral's name for it is "partial 16S ribosomal RNA". It matches the Rfam family "Bacterial small subunit ribosomal RNA", at positions 338 to 795 of the family's 1533-position model. The record is from RNAcentral.
CCUACGGGUGGCUGCAGUAAGGAAUAUUGGUCAAUGGACGAAAGUCUGAACCAGCCAUGCCGCGUGAAGGAUGAAGGUCCUCUGGAUUGUAAACUUCUUUUAUCUGGGACGAAAAAAGGGAAUUCUUUCUCACUUGACGGUACCAGAAGAAUAAGCACCGGCUAACUCCGUGCCAGCAGCCGCGGUAAUACGGAGGGUGCAAGCGUUAUUGGGAUUCACGGGGGUGAAGGUGGGCGGUGAAGGGCAGUUUGAAAUCUCCGGGCUUAACCCGGGAACUGCCAUUGAUACUAUCUGUCUUGAAUACUCUGGAGGUAAGCGGAAUAUGUCAUGUAGCGGUGAAAUGCUUAGAUAUGACAUAGAACACCGAUUGCGAAGGCAGCUUACUACGGAGUCAUUGACACUGAGGCACGAAAGCGUGGGGAUCAAACAGGAUUAGAUACCCUAGUAGUC